This is a long non-coding RNA of Echinops telfairi (small Madagascar hedgehog), 342 nucleotides long. RefSeq lists it as uncharacterized. The transcript is spliced from 3 exons. Lineage: Eukaryota; Metazoa; Chordata; Mammalia; Afrosoricida; Tenrecidae. The record is from RefSeq and is a predicted model, not a curated record.
GUGUUUGAGGGUAUCAAAAUGGCACACGUCUUUAAGUACAAUUUAAAGAGAAGAUUUAUUAAGUGUUAAAAAGGACAAAGGUAUCCCAGUUUAUAAAGCACAGGAAGCACAGAACAAUAACUGAUGCAAUGCUUUAUCAGGAACAAGGACACCAUCUCAGAAAUGAAGAGGGAGAUUGAACUGCCUUCAAAAAAGAAGAGCCAGGACUGAAGCAUGUUCUCUGGGCCCUGGGGUAUCUGAGCUGUCCUCCUUGGUCCAGGAGGCAUAGAACUGUGACGUCAGAGAAGGUGAGAAGUGGAAGAGACAAUGCAGAAAUGGAGGAGCAGCAGAAGCAGCAGAACC